This 393-nucleotide ribosomal RNA is filed under the name uncultured bacterium. RNAcentral describes it as "partial 16S ribosomal RNA". It matches the Rfam family "Bacterial small subunit ribosomal RNA", at positions 523 to 918 of the family's 1533-position model. The record is from RNAcentral.
AUACGAGGGGUGCAAGCGUUGUUCGGAAUUACUGGGCGUAAAGGGAGCGUAGGCGGAGAUUCAAGCGGAUUGUACAAUCCCGGGGCCCAACCCCGGCUCUGCAGUCCGAACUGGAUCUCUUGGAUAGUUCAGGGGCAGGCGGAAUUCCUGGUGGAGAGGGGGAAUGCGUAGAGAUCAGGAAGAACACCGAUGGCGAAGGCAGCCUGCUGGGGACUUAUCGACGCUGAGGCUCGAAAGUGCGGGUAGCAAACAGGAUUAGAUACCCUGGUAGUCCGCACCGUAAACGAUGCAUACUGGGUGUCCGGGGGUUCCCCCGGGUACCGUAGCCAACGCGUUAAGUAUGCCGCCUGGGGAGUACGUACGCAAGUAUGAAACUCAAAGGAAUUGACGGGG